RNAcentral lists this small RNA (332 nucleotides) under Pan troglodytes (chimpanzee). RNAcentral's name for it is "processed transcript". Lineage: Eukaryota; Metazoa; Chordata; Mammalia; Primates; Hominidae. The record is from RNAcentral.
GCACUUCCCACGUCCCCGGCGCUUCUGCCCCUGGGAUGUGGGAUCCCCACGGACCUGGAAAUUCUCGCCUGUCUUCCUUCACCCAGAGCAAAUUGAGACGUCCCGGCCUCGCACCUGAGCUCUACAAUCAUGUGUCCACUUGUCUCCUCAGCUGUCUCCUGGGUCAUCAAACAGGCAUCCCCACCUUCAGGUGUCCAUAAGUGACUUCCUAAAUCCCCAAACACAUUCCCUUGCAGUCUGCACAUCUCAGAUGAGGGUGACUAUGUACUUCCGGAAACAGCCAAACUUGACAGCAUGUAUUUUAAAUUUGGGAAAUAAAUUACUUUAUUAGU